Molecule: ribosomal RNA, 253 nt
Filed under: uncultured bacterium
Lineage: Bacteria
Description: partial 16S ribosomal RNA
Rfam family: Bacterial small subunit ribosomal RNA
Source: RNAcentral
UACAGAGGUCCCGAGCGUUGUUCGGAUUCACUGGGCGUAAAGGGUGCGUAGGCGGUCGGGUAAGUCCGACGUGAAAUCUUCAAGCUCAACUUGGAAACUGCGUCGGAUACUAUUCGGCUAGAGGAAUGGAGGGGAGACUGGAAUACUUGGUGUAGCAGUGAAAUGCGUAGAUAUCAAGUGGAACACCAGUGGCGAAGGCGAGUCUCUGGACAUUUCCUGACGCUGAGGCACGAAAGCCAGGGGAGCAAACGGG